GAUGAACGCUGACAGAAUGCUUAACACAUGCAAGUCCACUUGAACUUCGGUUUGGGUGGCGGACGGGUGAGUAACGCGUACAGAACUUGCCUCACAGAUAGGGGCAACAUUUGGAAACGAAUGCUAAUACCUGAUAUUAUGAUUUUAGGGCUUCUAGGAUUAUUAAAGCUAUAUGCGCUGUGAGAGAGCUUUGCGUCCCAUUAGCUAGUUGGAGAGGUAACGGCUCACCAAGGCGAUGAUGGGUAGCCGGCCUGAGAGGGUGAUCGGCCACAAGGGGACUGAGACACGGCCCUUACUCCUACGGGAGGCAGCAGUGGGGAAUAUUGGACAAUGGACCAAGAGUCUGAUCCAGCAAUUCGGUGUGCACGAUGAAGUUUUUCGGAAUGUAAAGUGCUUUCAGUUGGGAAGAAAAAAAUGACGGUACCAACAGAAGAAGGGACGGCUAAAUACGU
Molecule: ribosomal RNA, 452 nt
Filed under: uncultured bacterium
Lineage: Bacteria
Description: partial 16S ribosomal RNA
Rfam family: Bacterial small subunit ribosomal RNA
Source: RNAcentral